Molecule: ribosomal RNA, 492 nt
Filed under: uncultured bacterium
Lineage: Bacteria
Description: partial 16S ribosomal RNA
Rfam family: Bacterial small subunit ribosomal RNA
Source: RNAcentral
AGUGAACGCUGGCGGUAGGCCUAACACAUGCAAGUCGAACGGCAGCACAGUAAGAGCUUGCUCUUACGGGUGGCGAGUGGCGGACGGGUGAGGAAUACAUCGGAAUCUACUUUUUCGUGGGGGAUAACGUAGGGAAACUUACGCUAAUACCGCAUACGACCUACGGGUGAAAGCAGGGGAUCUUCGGACCUUGCGCGAUUGAAUGAGCCGAUGUCGGAUUAGCUAGUUGGCGGAGUAAAGGCCCACCAAGGCGACGAUCCGUAGCUGGUCUGAGAGGAUGAUCAGCCACACUGGAACUGAGACAAGGUCCAGAAUCCUAAGGGAGGCAGCAGUGGGGAAAAUUUGACAAUGGGCGCAAGCCUGAUCCAGCCAUACCGCGUGGGUGAAGAAGGCCUUCGGGUUGUAAAACCCUUUUUUUGGGAAAGAAAAGAAGAAGGUUAAUACCCCGCUGGUUUGAAGGGACCCAAAGAAUAAGCACCGGCUAACUUCGUG